RNAcentral lists this long non-coding RNA (1135 nucleotides) under Anas platyrhynchos platyrhynchos (common mallard). RNAcentral's name for it is "lncRNA (ENSAPLG00000021677.1)". The record is from RNAcentral. Lineage: Eukaryota; Metazoa; Chordata; Aves; Anseriformes; Anatidae.
CAAGGUUUGUUUGUUGUUUUACCUUAUUUCUGUAAAGGCCUCAAUGUUAUUACAAAAUGUACUAGCAAUUGCCUUCACUGCAUUUUUGAAAGGUUGUUGCAAACUUUUGUCUUUUCAGUUCAAUUCAUUCUUGUGUGUUUACAUGGUGGUUUGUUGAUUUUUGUUUCUGUUUGUGAGUCCUCCUUUUCUCUUCCAGGUUACGGUUCCUGUUCCCACAUUUCUUCUCAUUCCCCACUGCAGGGGAGAAAAGGUACCCUGGACUCUGCAGCCCGGCAAGCCAUCAGCCAGGUGCUGUGUUUGACAACUCUUAGCCUCUGGAAGAUGCUCUUUUUAAGGCAACCUGUUCUUAACUUUAAUUAGGUAAGUGGCAUAUCCUGUUCUAGAUAGGUUAUUCAUACCUAGUUCACGUAUUUGAUUUGUGUCAGUAUGUCAAGCAGAGGCCAGACGCCUUUAAUAGGAGACAGUAGAGAUAUAUAAAGUGAAUCAAAGCUUUACUCUUACACCUGCUUCUAACAGGCUAUCCUGCAGAAAUGAAGGUGCCCUAGAUUGAGCUGCUGACCAGUUUUAAGAAUCAGUGCAGGCUUCUUGCCCAAUUCUAUUUAGCUGAGGUCAUGGACACACAUAAUCCCCCAGCCACACAUGUGUUUGCUGACAAGGCACCAUAAGCUUUCUUUCAGCCUAGCACCAUUUCCCUGCAUCUGGUUGACAUUACAGCAGGUGUAACAGGUCCUGUGAGCGCACUCUACUUCCUUUAAUUGAAGAAGAGCUGCAUUACUUUAAAUGGUCAAAUGAAAAAGUUUUGCUGAUACCAGCAAAUUUUCAUGUCUGCAUGGAAGGGAAGGAGAAGAGGGAGAGGGAAAUUCCCCACUUUUUUCAGUAGUGUACAUCCCCAGUAAACUGAAUUGAGCUCCAACAAGGGGCACUCCUAGAGACUGUAAACGGCAAUAAUCUGAGGUAUUCUAUGUGACGAGGUUGAAGUACUCCCUGCAUACAGCAGUCAUCACUCAUUUUUUCUGUGCUGCUCCCUUCUCUACUGGUUCUAUUCACAAUGGCUGCAAAACUUUCGAAGAUGGCAAAAAACAGUUCUAGAGCCAAAUGGUAGAAGGAAAUAAAGAUAAAAGAGAUGAAAUAACCA